AAGGGAUGUGUUUAUUAGAUAAAAACCAAUGCCCUUCGGGGCUCUUUGGUGAUUCAUGAUAACUUUACGGAUCGCAUAGCCUUGCGCUGGCGACGGUUCAUUCAAAUUUCUGCCCUAUCAACUUUCGAUGGUAAGGUAUUGGCUUACCAUGGUUUCAACGGGUAACGGGGAAUUAGGGUUCGAUUCCGGAGAGGGAGCCUGAGAAACGGCUACCACAUCCAAGGAAGGCAGCAGGCGCGCAAAUUACCCAAUCCCGACACGGGGAGGUAGUGACAAUAAAUACUGAUACAGGGCUCUUUUGGGUCUUGUAAUUGGAAUGAGUACAAUUUAAACCUCUUAACGAGGAACAAUUGGAGGGCAAGUCUGGUGCCAGCAGCCGCGGUAAUUCCAGCUCCAAUAGCGUAUAUUAAAGUUGUUGCAGUUAAAAAGCUCGUAGUUGAAACUUGGGCCUGGCUGGCGGGUCCGCCUCACCGCGUGCACUCGUCCGGCCGGGCCUUCCUUCUGAAGAACCUCAUGCCCUUCACUGGGCGUGUUGGGGAAUCAGGACUUUUACUUUGAAAAAAUUAGAGUGUUCAAAGCAGGCCUUUGCUCGAAUACGUUAGCAUGGAAUAAUAAAAUAGGGCGUGCGUUUCUAUUUUGUUGGUUUCUAGAGACGCCGCAAUGAUUAACAGGAACAGUCGGGGGCAUCAGUAUUCAGUUGUCAGAGGUGAAAUUCUUGGAUUUACUGAAGACUAACUACUGCGAAAGCAUUUGCCAAGGAUGUUUUCAUUAAUCAGUGAACGAAAGUUAGGGGAUCGAAGACGAUCAGAUACCGUCGUAGUCUUAACCGUAAACUAUGCCGACUAGGGAUCGGGCGAUGUUCUUUUUCUGACUCGCUCGGCACCUUACGAGAAAUCAAAGUU
Molecule: ribosomal RNA, 902 nt
Filed under: Curvularia spicifera
Lineage: Eukaryota; Fungi; Ascomycota; Dothideomycetes; Pleosporales; Pleosporaceae
Description: SSU rRNA
Rfam family: Eukaryotic small subunit ribosomal RNA
Source: RNAcentral